This 498-nucleotide ribosomal RNA is filed under the name uncultured bacterium. Its description in RNAcentral is "partial 16S ribosomal RNA". It matches the Rfam family "Bacterial small subunit ribosomal RNA", at positions 28 to 507 of the family's 1533-position model. The record is from RNAcentral.
GACGAACGCUGGCGGCGUGCCUAAUACAUGCAAGUCGAACGAGAGCGCCCGGUGCUUGCCCUGGUCAAUCUAGUGGCGAACGGGUGAGUAACACGUGGGUAACCUGCUCAUCAGAGGGGGAUAACAUCCGGAAACGGAUGCUAAAACCGCAUAGGUCUUCGAGCCGCAUGGCUUGAAGAGGAAAAGAGGCGCAAGCUUCUGCUGAUGGAUGGACCCGCGGUGCAUUAGCUAGUUGGUGAGGUAACGGCUCACCAAGGCCAUGAUGCAUAGCCGACCUGAGAGGGUGAUCGGCCACAUUGGGACUGAGACACGGCCCAAACUCCUACGGGAGGCAGCAGUAGGGAAUCUUCCGCAAUGGACGCAAGUCUGACGGAGCAACGCCGCGUGAGUGAAGAAGGUUUUCGGAUCGUAAAACUCUGUUGUUAGAGAAGAACAAGUGCUAGAGUAACUGUUAGCGCCUUGACGGUAGCUAACCAGAAAGCCACGGCUAACUACGUG